This 102-nucleotide small nuclear RNA is filed under the name Phascolarctos cinereus (koala). Lineage: Eukaryota; Metazoa; Chordata; Mammalia; Diprotodontia; Phascolarctidae. The record is from RNAcentral.
GCAUUUCUUUAGAUAUCACAUGUACUAAAUUGGAAUGCUACAGAGAUUCACAUGCUCCUGAACAAGGAUAAAAUACAAAUUUGAGGAGUGUUACAUAUUUUU